This 468-nucleotide ribosomal RNA is filed under the name uncultured bacterium. RNAcentral describes it as "partial 16S ribosomal RNA". It matches the Rfam family "Bacterial small subunit ribosomal RNA", at positions 28 to 507 of the family's 1533-position model. The record is from RNAcentral.
GACGAACGCUGGCGGCGUGCCUAACACAUGCAAGUCGAACGGAAAGGCCCUGCUGUUGUGGGGUGCUCGAGUGGCGAACGGGUGAGUAACACGUGAGUAACCUGCCCUUGACUUUGGGAUAACUUCAGGAAACAGGGGCUAAUAACGGAUAGGAGCUCCUGCUGCAUGGUGGGGGUUGGAAAGGUUCGGCGGUUGGGGAUGGACUCGCGGCUUAGCAGCUUGUUGGUGGGGUAGUGGCUUACCAAGGCUUUGACGGGUAGCCGGCCUGAGAGGGUGACCGGCCACAUUGCGACUGAGGUACGGCCCAGACUCCUACUGGGGGCAGCAGUGGGGAAUAUUGCACAAUGGGCGGAAGCCUGAUGCAGCGGCUCCGCGUGCGGGAUGACGGCCUUCGGGUUGUAAACCGCUUUCGCCUGUGACGAAGCGUGAGUGACGGUAAUGGGUAAAGAAGCACCGGCUAACUACGUG